GGGCCACCAUGAGUUGCUCUAAUAGAGAAACAGCCUGCUAAAUUUGUUCUUCUUGAUUUUCACCAUCAGAUCUCUGGGACCCAACUCCACAAUAAUGAGGCUCCACGCUUUUCUCUUGGCUCUCUUUGCCAUCUUCCAGGUACUGCACGCUAUCAGCAGCGCACUCAAUUUUGAAAGACCUUGCUACCUCCGAGGAGGUAUCUGCCUGAAGCAGGGAACACCAAACUGCGAGCCUUUCCGAGGACCCUGCAGAGCUUUCACUGUUUGUUGCAAAAUAAGAAGUUGACAAGCAAGAGGGUCAAGAAAC
Non-coding RNA from Arvicanthis niloticus (Nile rat), 307 nucleotides. The record is from RefSeq and is a predicted model, not a curated record. NCBI's taxonomy places the organism in Eukaryota, Metazoa, Chordata, Mammalia, Rodentia, Muridae.